RNAcentral lists this ribosomal RNA (468 nucleotides) under uncultured bacterium. Its description in RNAcentral is "partial 16S ribosomal RNA". It matches the Rfam family "Bacterial small subunit ribosomal RNA", at positions 28 to 507 of the family's 1533-position model. The record is from RNAcentral.
GACGAACGCUGGCGGCGUGCUUAACACAUGCAAGUCGAACGGAAAGGUCCUGCGUUUGCGGGGUUCUCGAUUGGCGAACGGGGGAGUAACACGUGAGUAACCUGCCCCUGACUUUGGGAUAACAUUAGGAAACUGGGGCGAAUACCGGGUAUGAGCUCUAGCUGCAUGGUGGUGUUUGGAAAGAUUCGGCGGUUGGGGAUGGACUCGAGGGUUAUCAGCUUGUUGGUGGGGUAGUGGCGUAACAAGGCUUUGACGGGUAGCCGGCAUGAGGGGGUUACCGGCCACAUUGGGACUGAGAUACGGCCCAGACUCCUACGGGAGGCAGCAGUGGGGAAUAUUGCACAAUGGGCGGAAGCCUGAUGCAGCAACGCCGCGUGCGGGAUGACGGCCUUCGGGUUGUAAACCGCUUUCGCCUGUGACGAAGCGUGAGUGAGGGUAAUGGGUAAAGAAGCACCGGCUAACUCCGUG